Molecule: long non-coding RNA, 279 nt
Organism: Leptopilina heterotoma
Lineage: Eukaryota; Metazoa; Arthropoda; Insecta; Hymenoptera; Figitidae
Exons: 2
Source: RefSeq, a predicted model, not a curated record
CAGCCCCGCACGCCAGACCGGAAAGCGCCGUCAGUCCAGGACUAUUUGUUGUGUACACUGUUUACCGACACGUCAUCAUCCAAUAUGAAGUAUACACUUAAAAGUUGUCAUGGACUGUGCACAAGCGUCUCUAUCAAAGUACAAUGCUUGGCCUGAAGCGGAAAAAAAGGAAUUCUUGAAAUAAACUCACCAGCCAGUAAAUUCUUCAGAGUGUCAUAUGUGAAGAAACUGCAACCGGCGUAUGGAAUGACUCCCAAGAGAGUUGCAGUGAAACCUCGA